GCCAGGCAUGGUGGUGCAUGCCUGUAAUCCCAGCUACUCAGGAGGCUGAGGCAGGAGAAUCACUUGAACCCAGGAGGCGGAGGCUGCAGUGAGCUGAGAUCGUGCCACUGCACUCCAGCCUGGGCGACAGAGUGAGACUCUGUCUCAA
Molecule: signal recognition particle RNA, 148 nt
Filed under: Nomascus leucogenys (northern white-cheeked gibbon)
Lineage: Eukaryota; Metazoa; Chordata; Mammalia; Primates; Hylobatidae
Description: Metazoan signal recognition particle RNA
Rfam family: Metazoan signal recognition particle RNA
About the family: The signal recognition particle (SRP) is a universally conserved ribonucleoprotein.
Source: Rfam by way of RNAcentral